Molecule: ribosomal RNA, 360 nt
Filed under: Triticum aestivum (bread wheat)
Lineage: Eukaryota; Viridiplantae; Streptophyta; Magnoliopsida; Poales; Poaceae
Description: partial small subunit ribosomal RNA
Source: RNAcentral
AUGGCGAAGUCUCUGCGCUCGAAGCGGGAGAAGCGGCUGCGGACUCUCCGGCGGGAGAUCGCGGAGCCCUUCUACGACAAGAAGGAGGCCGCCAAGCAGGCCGCGCAGGCCGCCGCCCUCGACGCCCCCAAGCUCCCCGUCCGCGUGCACCCGAUGUACGAGGAGUCCCUCGCCGCUGCCGCUGCGGCCGCCGCCAGCCGGGCCUCGGCCAUGGAAGUUGAUGGAGGAAGCAAGAAGUCUGCAUCCUUCCUGAAGCCAAUGGGCACCAUUAGCAAGAAGAAGGUACAGCUUCACUUGAAGAUCAAGAAAGACAAGAGAAAAGCUAGGAAGAAGGGAAAUUCUGGGAAGAAGAGUUAUUAG